CACUUUCACGAAUCGAUCUAUCGUUCAUAAAAUGCUACAACUACACUACAGCCCAUUCACACACACGCACUUAAAAAAAAAUUGAAUUGUCCAAGUUCACACAAUCGCACGCGCAGACACUCACAGGUGUAGCUGAACUUUCCCACGGUUACCACGUUUUAGGCGCUUUCUUUGGAUACAAAAUUCAUACAUCCUUUGCACGUCAAAAAUCGAAAUAAUUAUGGCGCACUCACACACACGCGCGCACGCUUGGCAGUGAAAUGUGAGAGGGAGAGAGGGUGAGCCAGGAGUAGUAGUAAAACAGUGCCGAGAUUGUGCGAGCAAGCGAGAUAGCACCUUUGGCGACACAGUCACACUCACACACACACACACAUAGGCGCCUGGCAGCGUACGAAUUACGCAAAGUGAAAUAUCUUUCUCAAAAUGGAAAGUGGAAAAGUGACGACGACGACGGCGACGGCGAAGACGACGGUUAUUGUGAAUUUUUCAUACGUCCACCAAGCACAAAAAAUGUAUAUAAGCAAAUGCGUAUAUAGUGUAUAAAUUCAUACUAAAAAUGAGACUUUUGGGCGAGGGGAGGGGUGGAGAAGGAGAAAAUUUGACCGCAAAACGAACAUCACGAGGCGAACGAGGUCGCGCUGCCGAAAGCCCCGUUUCUCAUAGUUUGCCUAUAAAUUUUAGAUCCAGCCAGGCGACAGCCUCGUCUCGCGCCUCAAAAACGCCUAUUUUCGGUCGAAUAAAAGCAAUUUUCAGCACA
This is a long non-coding RNA of Drosophila erecta, 757 nucleotides long. RefSeq lists it as uncharacterized. The transcript has 2 exons. NCBI's taxonomy places the organism in Eukaryota, Metazoa, Arthropoda, Insecta, Diptera, Drosophilidae. The record is from RefSeq and is a predicted model, not a curated record.